UAUUUCUCCUCUACAUUUUUUUUCCUUUCUUUUUCUUCUCUUUUUCUUUCCAUUAAUUUUGUUCCCCACUCCAUCAACUCCACUACCCUAUGCUCCCCACCAUCUCCACUACCUUUGCUCCCCAUCAACUCCAACACUUCACCCAUUCCUUCCAUUUCGCACCAGCAAUCACAAAGAGAAGGAAGACUUGGCUUAACUACUUUGCCAAGAUUUCAAGCUGCUCCAGUCCAGUAGUACCCCAACACUCGAAGCUAGAGUUUAUUGGGUGAAAAACCGUGCAUGAGGUCGAGCGCAAGAAUAAGAGCUCGUCAAGGAGUCACUAAUCUGUAGCAAAGCUUUGCUAUCAGGUUGAGCAGCUGCCGAUGGUGAUGAAGUGACGAGCGGGACUCUUUUGUCUUAUUAUGUAUUAAUGAACUCUAGGGUUACAUGUCUUCAUACAUGUAAUCAGAACCUUAUUCCGCUGCGUACUCAGAAGUUUUAUGUUAUUUUGGACAAGUCGGAGUUAUCCGAAGUUGUUAGUUAUUUGAGUCUAUACGACAAAAACUCUGUUAUAUUAUAGAUAUCUAUGUUGUUAACAAUG
Salvia miltiorrhiza (redroot sage) is the source of this 580-nucleotide long non-coding RNA. RefSeq lists it as uncharacterized. NCBI's taxonomy places the organism in Eukaryota, Viridiplantae, Streptophyta, Magnoliopsida, Lamiales, Lamiaceae. The transcript is spliced from 3 exons. The record is from RefSeq and is a predicted model, not a curated record.